RNAcentral lists this ribosomal RNA (415 nucleotides) under uncultured Prevotella sp. Its description in RNAcentral is "bacterial SSU rRNA". It matches the Rfam family "Bacterial small subunit ribosomal RNA", at positions 355 to 766 of the family's 1533-position model. Lineage: Bacteria; Pseudomonadati; Bacteroidota; Bacteroidia; Bacteroidales; Prevotellaceae. The record is from RNAcentral.
UGAGGAAUAUUGGGUCAAUGGGCGGAAGCCUGAACCAGCCAAGUCGCGUGAGGGAUGACGGUCCUACGGAUUGUAAACCUCUUUAGCCGGGGGAUAAAGUGUGCCACGUGUGGCAUAUUGCAGGUACCCUAUGAAUAAGGACCGGCUAAUUCCGUGCCAGCAGCCGCGGUAAUACGGAAGGUCCGGGCGUUAUCCGGAUUUAUUGGGUUUAAAGGGAGCGUAGGCCGUCUUAUAAGCGUGUUGUGAAAUGUCGGGGCUCAACCUGGGCAUUGCAGCGCGAACUGUGAGACUUGAGUGCGCAGGAAGUAGGCGGAAUUCGUCGUGUAGCGGUGAAAUGCUUAGAUAUGACGAAGAACUCCGAUUGCGAAGGCAGCCUGCUGUAGCGCAACUGACGCUGAAGCUCGAAAGCGUGGGU